Molecule: long non-coding RNA, 360 nt
Filed under: Parus major (Great Tit)
Lineage: Eukaryota; Metazoa; Chordata; Aves; Passeriformes; Paridae
Description: lncRNA (ENSPMJG00000015244.1)
Source: RNAcentral
GGUUUUGCUGUCCUUUUUUACUUCUUCACAGGAAAGAAAGGCCUAGAAUAAUUUCUUAUUGUGGCAGUAAAAUCUCAUUUAACAUUCUCAGCUCUUUAUUGUAGAAUGACUUCUAUAUAGCACUACAACUCAUGUGUAAAGAGGAAGGAGAAGGACCUUUGGAAGCCUCUGGUCCCAUCACACCUGGAAUGCCAUCCUCUUCUGCAUGGAGGAAGCCCCCUAAGGCCAUCUCAUCUACUUGUAAAAAGUCUCUUUUCUGCUGUGGUGCCUGUAAGAAACUGUUGAACAGCUGCUGUUUAACAGUUUGAGUGAGGUGGCUGUAAAACAGGAGCUAAAAUAAAAGCGUAAGAAACUGAUACA